Molecule: long non-coding RNA, 576 nt
Filed under: Solanum tuberosum (potato)
Lineage: Eukaryota; Viridiplantae; Streptophyta; Magnoliopsida; Solanales; Solanaceae
Description: long non-coding RNA (STUB_LNC001465)
Source: RNAcentral
CUGAUCUGUUAUUCCCGCCAGCAAGCGAAGGCGCCGGCCAGAAGCAGUGCGAGGACCAGCCCCGACCGGCGACCCUCUUUCUCUCUUCUCCUACGCUUCAGUGAGGACGACAACAUCAAAGAGCAGCUCCAACUGCCCUGACCAGCGAACUGCGAGCAGCAAACUCCGGCGAAGGCAAGAGCGUUUCAGAUUCUCCGGCUAACUCCUCUAUCUUCUCCGACGACCAGCCCAGAAGAGAGACGGCAGUGCUACUGUUGUCGCCGGAGACCAACCAGAUCUGGCCGGAAAACUGCCAGACCUUGUCGGAAAAUUGCCUAAAGACCACCGAAGCCCUCCAUAUUCACCAAUUUAGGUUUUAUCUAUCUUUUCUCUUUUUUGCUGAAUCUGUUUUUUGAGCCCUUUCGUGCAGUUUUUAUAUUCCGGAUCAGUACUUCCUUGUUAUCUAUUAUAGCUCGGAUUUGUGCUUCAGACUAUAGUAUAGUUAUUGCUAUCGUGGCCUCUAGAGUAUACACUAUACGUGAUCCUAUAGUAUAGUUGUUGCUAUCUUGUCUUUUAGAUUAUACACCUGUUGCAGNN